Molecule: non-coding RNA, 2887 nt
Organism: Xyrichtys novacula (pearly razorfish)
Lineage: Eukaryota; Metazoa; Chordata; Actinopteri; Labriformes; Labridae
Source: the annotation of a GenBank genome assembly
AGGGAUGCAGUCUGGGACACGUAGUUGCAAACCUAGCGACUUUGUUGUUAGAUUCAAUGACUUUUCAGACCCCCUAACGACUUUUUUUUAGAAAGAAAGUGACUUUUAUCGACUUCUUCUGGAGUUUAGAGACUCUGACAUGAAGCAGGCUUUCCUUACUGAGGAGUUAGCAACGCUGCUAAGGGUGCAGAGCCACACAUGCGCUCCGAGCUCUGCAUGGGAGACUGAAGCUGACAGAGCUGCAGCAGUUAGCAGGUUUCACCCUCAGAGACCACCAGGGGUUCAUGUUGAGGCAUUUUCAGUUUUUUUUUUUUUUUUUGCCAUAGACACUGUCAGCACAAUCUGCAGUUACACUAACAAAAAUGCUGCAAAAAAAAAAGAAUUAUGGAAAAAUUACACAUGGACUAACAUAGAGGAGGAUCUACACAAGUUUUUUACAUCAUGUUUUACAUCAUGCAUCAUUUACAUCAUGUUUUUUUGUAGUGGCAUAAAUAAAAAGUGACAUUUGUGAGACUAUACAGUGUUUUGUAAAUAAUUUUACAAAGAACACCUGGGCCAUUGCCUGCAUUUUGAUGUCAAUAGAGGUAAAUUACUAUGUUCUUUGUUAAAAAUUUGCAUAUGUUUUGAAGUUUACAAUUUUUAAUUGAAGUUUAAGUUUUAAAAACAGUUCAUCACACAUAUUUGUGGUUUUCACAGUAAAAACGUUACUUUUUUCCACUCGGAUUUUAUGUUUUGUGUGUGAAUUUGGGUCCAAUGUGUAAAUAUAGUAUGUCAAAAUGAUAAAAUAACUGUAAAUUGACACAGGUGAGGUUGUGCUGAAAAAAAUGAUACCAGGCAAGGCAAGGUAAAAAUUUUGUAAGAGGAAAUAUAAAGGUAAAAUCUAAAGUAGUCAAAAACGGCCAAUAGUGACUCACAGACUCCACAGACAAGUCCCUUUGGCGCCACUCAGUGGGCAAAACUACUUUGUCUACUGUAAUGUAUAUUUGGGUCAUCUUUGGCGCCCCCUAAAACGUAAACCGUGGGGUGCAGCGUCAUGAUUUUUACAACUUUGAAUGGCCAUGGAGUGUAGAUUGGCCUGAGCAAAUUUGGUGUCAGUGGGACGAAAGCCUUAGGAGGAGUUAGCGAAAUUCCAAUGUGUGCGAAUCGGCAAAAAAUGCAAAAUAGCCCUUUUACCGUACAUUAUACAGAUACGCGCUCUUUGACUUUUUCGUAGAUCUAAUUGAGAUACACAUGAUUGUCAAUUUUUGUGUCAUUUUGCCAAAGCGUACAGGCGUGACACUCAACAAUGUGUAUUUUCACCUUAGGGGACAAGAAAAAAUGGACUUUUUUCUCCUGCCAUGGGGGGGCGCUCUUUUGGGGAGUAAAAAUUCCUUCACAAAUGUGUUGAUGGCUGGACAUUGCAUCAUCCUAGAAAACUUGGAGGCCAGUGAGGACAAAAAUAAAAAGUUAUAAGACUUUUAAAAAUGUGGAUUUUUGGGUUAUCUUUGGCGCCCCCUAGAACGUAAACCGUGGGGUGCAGCGUCAUGAUUUGAAUAACUUUUAAUGGCCAUGGGGUGUAAUUUGGCCUGAGCAAAUGUGGUGCCGGUGGAACGAAAGCCUUCGGAGGAGUUAGCGAAAUUCCAAUGUGUGCGAAUCGGCAAAAAAUGCGGAAUAACCCUUUAACCGUACAUUAGACAGAUACGCGCGCAUGGACUUUUUUGUAGAUCUUAUUGAGAUACAUGUGUGUGUCAAUUUUUGUGUCAUUUUGACAAAGCGUACAGGCGUGACACUCAACAAUGUGUAUUUUCACCUUAGGGGACAAGAAAAAAAUGGACUUUUUUCUCCUGCCAUGGGGGGGCGCUCUUUUGGGGAGUAAAAAUUCCUUCACAAAUGUGUUGAUGGCUGGACAUUGCAUCAUCCUAGAAAACUUGGAGGCCAGUGAGGGCAAAAAUAAAAAGUUAUAAGACUUUUAAAAAUGUGGAUUUUAGGGUUAUCUUUGGCGCCCCCUAGAACCUAAACCGUGGGGUGCAGCGUCAUGAUUUGAAUAACUUUUAAUGGCCAUGGGGUGUAGAUUGGCCUGAGCAAAUGUGGUGCCGGUGGAACGAAAGCCUUCGGAGGAGUUAGCGAAAUUCCAAUGUGUGCGGAUCGGCAAAAAAUGCGAAAUAACCCUUUAACCGUACAUUUGACAGAUACGCCCGCACUGACUUUUUUGUAGAUCUUAUUGAGAUACAUGUGUGUGUCAAUUUUUGUGUCAUUUUGACAAAGCGUACAGGCGUGACAGUCAAUAGUGUGAAUUUUCACCUUAGGGGGCGCUAUGGAGCCAUUUUGCAUUUUCUUGUUUGGGCGACUUCGGAAUAUCAAAUUUUUCACCAGGCCCGGUCGUCCUGCCAAAUUUCCUGAGUUUUCGCCAGUGGGAAGUGGGCCAUUUUCCAGUUCAAAGGGGAGGAAAAAGAAGAAAGAAAGAAACAAAGAAAAACCCCUACAGGAAUAACAGGGCCUACGCCCGGCUGCUCUGCAGCUGGCUCGGGCCCUAAGAAAGAAACAAAGAAAAACCCCUACAGGAAUAACAGGGCCUACGCCCGGCUGCUCUGCAGCUGGCUCGGGCCCUAAAGAAAGAAAGAAAGAACUAGGGCCCCGGUGGGGCACUGUCGGGCCCGAGCCGUGUCGCGCCGCCCCCAGCGCGACCGCCUCCCCCUCCCGAUCGCGUCACACUCAAGGUCCAAAGAUGGUGUGCGCACUUGUCUGUGGUCAUUUCCCAUUAUAAUGAAUGGGAGGCGCAGUUUCUACCAAAACGCUCGCUGCAGACAAACUACAUGUCCUAUUUGAAAAAAGUCUGGACCAUGAGUGAGGGCACAAACACAGCUAGUAUAUAUCCAAAUGGCAAGUUGCUCCUCCUUUCGGUUUUGCA